This 1171-nucleotide ribosomal RNA is filed under the name uncultured Bacteroides sp. RNAcentral describes it as "bacterial SSU rRNA". It matches the Rfam family "Bacterial small subunit ribosomal RNA", at positions 10 to 1177 of the family's 1533-position model. Lineage: Bacteria; Pseudomonadati; Bacteroidota; Bacteroidia; Bacteroidales; Bacteroidaceae. The record is from RNAcentral.
AGUUUGAUCCUGGCUCAGGAUGAACGCUAGCUACAGGCUUAACACAUGCAAGUCGAGGGGCAGCAUCAUCAAAGCUUGCUUUGAUGGAUGGCGACCGGCGCACGGGUGAGUAACACGUAUCCAACCUGCCGACAACACUGGGAUAGCCUUUCGAAAGAAAGAUUAAUACCGGAUGGCAUAGUUUUCCCGCAUGGGAUAAUUAUUAAAGAAUUUCGGUUGUCGAUGGGGAUGCGUUCCAUUAGGCAGUUGGCGGGGUAACGGCCCACCAAACCAACGAUGGAUAGGGGUUCUGAGAGGAAGGUCCCCCACAUUGGAACUGAGACACGGUCCAAACUCCUACGGGAGGCAGCAGUGAGGAAUAUUGGUCAAUGGACGAGAGUCUGAACCAGCCAAGUAGCGUGAAGGAUGACUGCCCUAUGGGUUGUAAACUUCUUUUAUACGGGAAUAAAGUGAGCCACGUGUGGCUUUUUGUAUGUACCGUAUGAAUAAGGAUCGGCUAACUCCGUGCCAGCAGCCGCGGUAAUACGGAGGAUCCGAGCGUUAUCCGGAUUUAUUGGGUUUAAAGGGAGCGUAGGCGGGUUGUUAAGUCAGUUGUGAAAGUUUGCGGCUCAACCGUAAAAUUGCAGUUGAUACUGGCGACCUUGAGUGCAACAGAGGUAGGCGGAAUUCGUGGUGUAGCGGUGAAAUGCUUAGAUAUCACGAAGAACUCCGAUUGCGAAGGCAGCUUACUGGAUUGUAACUGACGCUGAUGCUCGAAAGUGUGGGUAUCAAACAGGAUUAGAUACCCUGGUAGUCCACACAGUAAACGAUGAAUACUCGCUGUUGGCGAUAUACAGUCAGCGGCCAAGCGAAAGCAUUAAGUAUUCCACCUGGGGAGUACGCCGGCAACGGUGAAACUCAAAGGAAUUGACGGGGGCCCGCACAAGCGGAGGAACAUGUGGUUUAAUUCGAUGAUACGCGAGGAACCUUACCCGGGCUUAAAUUGCAACUGACGGAACCGGAAACGGUUCUUUCUUCGGACAGUUGUGAAGGUGCUGCAUGGUUGUCGUCAGCUCGUGCCGUGAGGUGUCGGCUUAAGUGCCAUAACGAGCGCAACCCUUACGGGUAGUUACCAUCAGGUUAUGCUGGGGACUCUACCCGGACUGCCGUCGUAAGAUGUGAGGAAGGUGGA